Molecule: non-coding RNA, 465 nt
Organism: Elephantulus edwardii (Cape elephant shrew)
Lineage: Eukaryota; Metazoa; Chordata; Mammalia; Macroscelidea; Macroscelididae
Source: the annotation of a RefSeq genome assembly
AUGUUGCUCUCCAGCGUGAUGAAGGUGGUCUUGGCUUUAAUAUGCUUAGAAUUCAGUAUUGCCCAGAAGGUAAAUCAAGAUCAACCAGAAAUGACAGUGCAAGAAGAGAAGACAGUUACUCUGCCCUGCACAUAUGAUACCAGUGAUUCAAGUUUUGGCCUAUUCUGGUACAAACAACCCAGCAGUGGGGAGAUGAUUUUCCUUAUUCGUCAGGAUUCUUACAACCAGCAAAAUGCAACUGAAGGUCGCUAUUCAUUGAACUUCCAAAAGGCAGCUAAAUCCAUCAACCUUGUCAUCUCUUCUUCACAGCUGGAGGACUCAGCAGUGUAUUUCUGUGCACUGAGAGAAGCCACAGUGAGAGAAAAGUCACAAGAAGACAUAAAAAAACCAGCAUCCAGCUUAAGAAACCCACCUGUUGUAGGGCCUGAGGGGGGGAAAUCACAGACACAGACAGGAAGUGGCUAG